Molecule: ribosomal RNA, 433 nt
Filed under: uncultured bacterium
Lineage: Bacteria
Description: partial 16S ribosomal RNA
Rfam family: Bacterial small subunit ribosomal RNA
Source: RNAcentral
AACGAACGCUGGCGGCAUGCCUAACACAUGCAAGUCGAACGAGACCUUCGGGUCUAGUGGCGCACGGGUGCGUAACGCGUGGGAACCUGCCCUUAGGUUCGGAAUAACUCCCCGAAAGGGGUGCUAAUACCGGAUAAUGUCUUCGGACCAAAGAUUUAUCGCCUUUGGAUGGGCCCGCGUUGGAUUAGCUAGUUGGUAGGGUAAAAGCCUACCAAGGCGACGAUCCAUAGCUGGUCUGAGAGGAUGAUCAGCCACGCUGGGACUGAGACACGGCCCAGACUCCUACGGGAGGCAGCAGUGGGGAAUAUUGGACAAUGGGCGAAAGCCUGAUCCAGCAAUGCCGCGUGAGUGAUGAAGGCCUUAGGGUUGUAAAGCUCUUUUACCCGGGAUGAUAAUGACAGUACCGGGAGAAUAAGCGCCGGCUAACUCCGUG